Molecule: ribosomal RNA, 65 nt
Filed under: uncultured bacterium
Lineage: Bacteria
Description: partial 16S ribosomal RNA
Source: RNAcentral
UGAGGAACAUGACCUUCGGCGGGGGGAUAGCCGGCCCAACGGCCGGGUAAUACCGCGUACGACCA